UUUAAUCUUGUUGUUUGAAUCUACCGUUUAAAUUGUAUGUUUUUAGGUGUGGUAAUACCAAAUCUCUACUUGUUUCAAAUAAAAUAUUUCAAAUAAAAAAAAAAAAAAUAAACAAAACAAGUUUUUAAUCAAAUUUAAAUUAAUAUCAUAAAACAUUUUUUAAAGUUGAUAUUAUAAAUCUAAUUCUUUUAAAAACUAAUAUUAGAGAACAAAUAUCAUAAAACAUUUUUUAAAACUAUAUAUCAUAAAUUUUUUAACACUAAUGUCAUACCCCCUUCUCCUUUGGUCAGUUAUCUUAUUUUUCU
This 305-nucleotide long non-coding RNA is filed under the name Lathyrus oleraceus (garden pea). Its description in RNAcentral is "Pisum sativum (pea) long non-coding RNA (PSAT_LNC018232)". The record is from RNAcentral. Lineage: Eukaryota; Viridiplantae; Streptophyta; Magnoliopsida; Fabales; Fabaceae.